Podarcis lilfordi (Lilford's wall lizard) is the source of this 114-nucleotide non-coding RNA. The record is from the annotation of a GenBank genome assembly. Lineage: Eukaryota; Metazoa; Chordata; Lepidosauria; Squamata; Lacertidae.
GUUGGCUAUGGAGACACCUACCCGGUUACUCUUGGAGGGAAGAUCAUUGGCACAACGUGCAUCAUCUGUGGAAUAUUAGUGGUAGCUCUUCCCAUCACGAUCAUUUUCAACAAG